GCCGUGGUGUUCAGAUUGGUGAGGAGCGUUCUAGCGGAAAAAAAGAGUCCUUCUUUCUUUUGCUCGAGCGUUCAUUAAGGCUUGCUUUCCUCACCUACUGUGCGAUGGUUUGUGCUUCGUAGUGACUACCGGGGAUUAGUGACUCCACCAUCACAUGGAGCUCAGUCUAACACGGUGCACCCUUUUUAUCUGUAGAUUAGACCGGCACAAAAAAAAAGACUGCCCAUAGAUCGGCACGAAUAGUGAAACACUUAGUGGCUGAUUUAACGCGCGUGCCCUGUUUCAAUGGCACUUGCUUAAAAUGAGAAAAAAACGACAACUCUUUUGGUUAUGCAUGGAAACCGCAUCACUGUAAAGGUGCGCCGCAGCGGACGCCUCAGGACUUCGAAGAGCUGGGCGGCCGGGGUGGAGAGACGGAGCGUCCAUGAAGUCGGCUUUUGGAGCCUUGUAAAUAGGUAGAACUAACUAAAGAAGCUAGCGGUGGCGGGUCAACUUAAGAGGCAGUCAAAGAGGGCAGAGGCGGCGCGAACGGGGGCGGGCUUAGACAGCCGUUGAAAAGGGCAGCAAGAUGUCCACCACCGUUCCAAAGAGCGCUGAUCUUUAAGCGCUGUGUUACCCGUCCGCGUUGUCGACGUGGUAAAUACAUCCGUUAGAGGGACCCCUGUAAGCACUCUCCCUCCAACUCCUAGAGAAAAUGUUCAUACCGGCAUAACAGCUAUAACUGAACUUCUAAGGAGGUUCCGGAGGACCAAUGCGAAAACAACUCAAACUCCUAGGGGCACUACGACUACUACGUUAAAUACCGGCACUACCCAUACUGAAACUGCCGAUGUCCGACGCCCACCUUAAUCGAGUACCACCUUCUCGAGUUAGAAUGAGCAUACUAGCGGGUUCGUCGAAAUCGUUACCUGCGGCACCUCCACAAAGAUCCGCGAGACUCAAGGCUCAAUACCAACUACCAAAUGGAAGCAGUCGCAGUACCGUUCUAGAGUUCCUGGUAUACGCUGCCCGACCGCUACAGACAAAAAGACUACAUAUGGCGCUCCCGCCUCGUUGGCAACCUCAACAUCUAAUAUGUUUGAUGCUACUGUACUUUAUACGCUAAUCCUUCGAGCUACUAUGUCUCAAGUCUUUACGUAAAAGUUCCCGUAUAUAGUCCCACUCCGUCAUACUACGAUCUAGUUCUUCGUCCUCGGCAUCGGAGAGAAUGAGUUCUUCAGCGUCGAUAUCGUCUAGACAGAGAGCUAGUGGGAAUGGACACCUACUUUCCAGUGGCAGUUCUAGAGCCAGAGGACAAAGAAGCCAAAGACCUUUUAGGCACUCGUCUUCGGGAGCCUCGUCCUCGAAUAGGGCGAGACGUAGAGGACGCUCCAGCCUAACUAGAACCCGUGUGGACCUUCGUCGCUCAACUGAUGAAGUCCUAGCGUCAUAAGCAGCAUCUAAAUCUCAACAUAUAAGUCUCCUCUGGACAUGGAAAAGAACUUACUGAACCUCUAACUAGACGUCAAACACCAUUGAACUUAAGUCUCCUCUGUACGUGAAACAC
RNAcentral lists this ribosomal RNA (1546 nucleotides) under Triticum aestivum (bread wheat). Its description in RNAcentral is "partial small subunit ribosomal RNA". The record is from RNAcentral. Lineage: Eukaryota; Viridiplantae; Streptophyta; Magnoliopsida; Poales; Poaceae.